Small nuclear RNA from Sorex araneus (European shrew), 148 nucleotides. Its record names the gene U12. It matches the Rfam family "U12 minor spliceosomal RNA". Rfam says of the family: Although the U12 sequence is very divergent from that of U2, the two are functionally analogous. Lineage: Eukaryota; Metazoa; Chordata; Mammalia; Eulipotyphla; Soricidae. The record is from Ensembl.
AUGUCUUAAACUUAGGAGUAAGGAAAAUAACAAUUCAGGGUGAUGCCUGAAUCCUCACUGCUAAUGUGAAAUGAAUUUUUGAAUAGGUUAAGGUUGCCCCUUGAUGACCUGCCUACUUCUGCAGAUGCCUGAAGGAGUAAUCUGCCUG